This 698-nucleotide long non-coding RNA is filed under the name Homo sapiens (human). RNAcentral's name for it is "HSALNT0016028". The record is from RNAcentral. Lineage: Eukaryota; Metazoa; Chordata; Mammalia; Primates; Hominidae.
CCCUGAUGCUCCAGCUAGCUGAACAGGUGGGGAGUCUGCCCUAGAUACACCCUUAAGUUUUGAGAAUAACAAAGCUAGACAAAACACAAUGCAAGCUUCCAGACCUUCACAGUCCUCUGUUCAGUACUCCAAACCUCAGAGCCCUGAGACUCAUGGUGUCUAGGGUCUUCAUAUUAUAUCCACCCCUGUCUAACCUCCGAGGAGAAGGCCUAAAUUUUUUCAGGGCUUUUUCCUCCCUCUUUAUCAAAAGCUACUCAUUGGCUCCUCAUCCUCGCUCUCAGGAAAGCAACACUAGGGAAUAUACUCUCAUCAGGGUGGCACAUCAAAGAACUGUGGGAUCUCCCUUGCUGCCUCCCACCUAGAGGUUAGAAAGCUUCCCUGGGAGCUGGAAGUUCUCACAUGACAGAGUUCUAGACCAUGAAAGCAAAGGAGAUGUCUGCUAGGGAUUUUCUGGAAAAUCUUUUGCUUUCUUGACAUAAGUAACAGGAGCAUUUGAUGCCAACUCCUUCCUUCUUUCUGCCUUUAAUAGUUGUGUGACACCUGGAGUUGCAGUAGCUAUCUUGUGGCCUCAGGUGGCGGUCGUGAGGAUCAAGAUGCUAAAGAUGAUGAAGAUGAUGUUGGAGCCUGGGUCCUUGUUUAUGCUGUUGAGAUGACAUAGACUGCCUGUGUCUGAAAUGGUUGUGCAUAAACAAUAAAUG